RNAcentral lists this non-coding RNA (94 nucleotides) under Protocruzia adhaerens. The record is from RNAcentral. Lineage: Eukaryota; Ciliophora; Spirotrichea.
AUCAACAAUAACUUUCUUGACUUGUUGGUGUUUCUUUUUUCUCCUCGCUGGUUUUUCUUCUUCUUUUUUUUGUAUCCCCUUUCUCUUCCCUCUC